This 1011-nucleotide ribosomal RNA is filed under the name uncultured bacterium. RNAcentral's name for it is "bacterial SSU rRNA". It matches the Rfam family "Bacterial small subunit ribosomal RNA", at positions 8 to 916 of the family's 1533-position model. The record is from RNAcentral.
AGAGUUUGAUCCUGGCUCAGGACGAACGCUGGCGGCGUGCCUAACACAUGCAAGUCGAACGGAACCUAGAUGUUAGACUGUAGAUGUUAGAAAUUAGAACAAGGACAUGGUUGGAACUUUAAGAUUGAGCCUAAGGCUUGAGGGACCAUUGUCUUAGAUUUAAAAUCUAAAAUCUAAUGUCUAGAGUCUAACAUCUAGGCUUAGUGGCGGACGGGCGAGUAACGCGUGAGCAACCUGCCCUUAAGAGGGGGACAACGACUGGAAACGGUCGCUAAUACCGCAUGACAUAUCGGGAUGGCAUCAUCUUGAUAUCAAAGGAGAAAUCCGCUUAAGGAUGGGCUCGCGUCCGAUUAGCUAGUUGGUGGGGUAACGGCCCACCAAGGCGACGAUCGGUAGCCGAACUGAGAGGUUGAUCGGCCGCAUUGGGACUGAGACACGGCCCAGACUCCUACGGGAGGCAGCAGUGGGGGAUAUUGCACAAUGGAGGAAACUCUGAUGCAGCAACGCCGCGUGAGGGAAGAAGGUCUUCGGAUUGUAAACCUUAGUAGUCAGGGACGAAAAAAAUGACGGUACCUGAAGAGUAAGCUCCGGCUAACUACGUGCCAGCAGCCGCGGUAAUACGUAGGGAGCGAGCGUUGUCCGGAUUUACUGGGUGUAAAGGGUGCGUAGGCGGGACUGCAAGUCAGGCGUGAAAUACCGGGGCUUAACUCCGGGGCUGCGCUUGAAACUGCGGUUCUUGAGUGAAGUAGAGGCAGGCGGAAUUCCUAGUGUAGCGGUGAAAUGCGUAGAUAUUAGGAGGAACACCAGUGGCGAAGGCGGCCUGCUGGGCUUUAACUGACGCUGAGGCACGAAAGCAUGGGGAGCAAACAGGAUUAGAUACCCUGGUAGUCCAUGCCGUAAACGAUGAUUGCUAGGUGUGGGGGGACUGACCCCUUCCGUGCCGGAGUUAACACAAUAAGCAAUCCACCUGGGGAGUACGACCGCAAGGUUGAAACUCAAAUGAAUUGACGG